GCUGGGUGCCGUGGUGCACACCUGUAAUCCCAGCCGCUUGGGAGGCUGAGGCAGGAGGAUCGAAAGUUCAAAGGCAACCUUAGCAACUUAGCGAGGCCCUAAACAACUCAGCAAGACCUGUCUCUA
This 126-nucleotide small RNA is filed under the name Marmota monax (woodchuck). The record is from RNAcentral. Lineage: Eukaryota; Metazoa; Chordata; Mammalia; Rodentia; Sciuridae.